Molecule: ribosomal RNA, 465 nt
Filed under: Vreelandella stevensii
Lineage: Bacteria; Pseudomonadati; Pseudomonadota; Gammaproteobacteria; Oceanospirillales; Halomonadaceae
Description: partial 16S ribosomal RNA
Rfam family: Bacterial small subunit ribosomal RNA
Source: RNAcentral
CCUACGGGGGGCUGCAGUGGGGAAUAUUGGACAAUGGGGGCAACCCUGAUCCAGCCAUGCCGCGUGUGUGAAGAAGGCCCUCGGGUUGUAAAGCACUUUCAGUGAGGAAGAACGCCUGGUGGUUAAUACCCAUCAGGAAAGACAUCACUCACAGAAGAAGCACCGGCUAACUCCGUGCCAGCAGCCGCGGUAAUACGGAGGGUGCGAGCGUUAAUAGGAAUUACUGGGCGUAAAGCGCGCGUAGGUGGCUUGAUAAGCCGGUUGUGAAAGCCCCGGGCUCAACCUGGGAACGGCAUCCGGAACUGUCAAGCUAGAGUGCAGGAGAGGAAGGUAGAAUUCCCGGUGUAGCGGUGAAAUGCGUAGAGAUCGGGAGGAAUACCAGUGGCGAAGGCGGCCUUCUGGACUGACACUGACACUGAGGUGCGAAAGCGUGGGUAGCAAACAGGAUUAGAUACCCUGGUAGUC